Molecule: ribosomal RNA, 512 nt
Filed under: uncultured bacterium
Lineage: Bacteria
Description: bacterial SSU rRNA
Rfam family: Bacterial small subunit ribosomal RNA
Source: RNAcentral
AGAGUUUGAUUCUGGCUCAGGAUGAACGCUAGCGGCAGGCCUAAUACAUGCAAGUCGAACGGUAAAUCCCCCUCGGGGGGAUGAGAGUGGCGGACGGGUGCGUAACGCGUAUGCAACCAACCCCCGACGGGCGGACAGCCGGUGGAAACGCCGGAUAACACGCCAUGCGGCCACCUGGGGGCAUCCCUCGGUGGCCAAAGCCUCGGCGGUCGGGGACGGGCAUGCGUCCCAUUAGAUAGUAGGCGGGGCGACGGCCCACCUAGUCGACGAUGGGUAGGGGAUCUGAGAGGACGGUCCCCCACACUGGUACUGAGACACGGACCAGACUCCUGCGGGAGGCAGCAGUAAGGGAUAUUGGGCAAUGGGGGCAACCCUGACCCAGCCAUGCCGCGUGAGGGAAUGAGGCCCUACGGGUCGUGAACCUCUUUUGUCCAGGGACAAGGACGGCGUCGGGAACGCCGUUUGAGGGUACUGGAAGAAUAAGCAUCGGCUAACUCCGUGCCAGCAGCAGC